Molecule: ribosomal RNA, 301 nt
Filed under: uncultured bacterium
Lineage: Bacteria
Description: partial 16S ribosomal RNA
Rfam family: Bacterial small subunit ribosomal RNA
Source: RNAcentral
CAGUCGCCGCGGGAAUACAGAGGGUGCGAGCGUUAAUCGGAUUUACUGGGCGUAAAGCGUGCGUAGGCGGCUUUUUAAGUCGGAUGUGAAAUCCCUGAGCUUAACUUAGGAAUUGCAUUCGAUACUGGGAAGCUAGAGUAUGGGAGAGGAUGGUAGAAUUCCAGGUGUAGCGGUGAAAUGCGUAGAGAUCUGGAGGAAUACCGAUGGCGAAGGCAGCCAUCUGGCCUAAUACUGACGCUGAGGUACGAAAGCAUGGGGAGCAAACAGGAUUAGAUACCCCGUAGUCCCUGUCUCUUAUACA